GCACUGCUGAGGAGUCUCAUAACAGGUCGAAACGGCCGUCUAGUGC
Schistosoma margrebowiei is the source of this 46-nucleotide non-coding RNA. The record is from Rfam. Lineage: Eukaryota; Metazoa; Platyhelminthes; Trematoda; Strigeidida; Schistosomatidae.